GGCACCUAUCCACAGCCUGAACCUUGGAGAACACCUCCCUUUCAUAUGACUUCUGCAAAGGGCGUGUUUCAGCUCACAGGGACAAAGAGUCACUGCACCAGAGAACCAGAAAGAGAUGUUUCAGGAAACUGCCGCAACUUUGUAGAGCACAGUUUGAAAGCUACUGCUGAAGAAAUAUGUCACCUUGAAGGCUUUUUAAACACGGGAUUUGCAAGAUAGGGUUUGCAUUUUAGAAACAUUAUUCUGCUUGCUACACUACUGAGUUUGGAUGAGGGAGACUUGAAGGCAAGGGAGCUCUGUUAUGAAAUAACUACACUUUUCUUAUAGAAGAAGACUAUAAUAGACUGUAUCAAAAAUGUCUACGUUCCAUAGCAUUGGUGGAACCAUGCAUUACGUCUGAGGACAAGGACGGGAACCUUCUGUGGCGUGCUGUCAACAGCUUUAAAUAGGCAUUGAGUUUGAAGAUAGAGCACAUGAAGGGCAUGUUACAGCAGAGCUGAAGGGAGAACAGUUGAUGGGGUUUGGUGAUCAACUGAUUUGGAGAGUAAAGCAAUGAGAAGAAUGACAUUCAUGAUUUGGUAUGAAUUAAGGGUUUAUUGGACAGAAGAAAUGAUGGGCAAGAGCGGGCAUGGUGUAGGGGUGGAGUUGGAAACUUCCUUUCAUAUGGUCAACACCUCAGCAACCUCAUUUAGACAUAGGACCUGUGCAUAGUAAUCCCUUUUGUCUUGGAGGUGAGUUGUUGAUUUUAUUUUUAUUUUUAUUUUUUAGCUCCUUGGCACUUCUUUCUAAGGUUAGGGAUCAGAAAGAAACAUAAUUGAGUUCCUGCCAAAUUGAAUAUUCAGAAAGGGCACUGAUAGGGGGAUCAAUUCCUUAUUUCUACCAUGAGACAGGCAAGAUAAAGAAGAGUUGAUAAUUUCUGCACCCAUCUUACUUCCUGCCCACCACAGAGCAGUUCACCCAGUGGCCUGGUUGGAUGUUAGCCAUUGGCAGGGCAAGAAAUCCAACAAUCGACUGUUGAAGAAUUCCAGAGAAUCAGUCUGGAUCUCUUUCACACAGACAAAGUCUUGUUCCAGCUAAUCUUAGGCUCCUAUGCGAGAGGAAAGAUGCUGGGAGGCCAGCACGGUGGCUCACACCCAUAAUCCCAGCACUUUGGGGGGCCAAGGUGGGCAGAUCCCUCGAGCCCAGGAAUUCAAAACCAGCCCGGGCAACAUAGUAAUAACCCCCAUCUCUACAAAAAAUUAAGAAAAAUAAUUAGCCAGAUGUGUUGGUGCAUGCCUUAGUCCUAACUACUCCGCAAGCUGAGCUGAGAGGAUCACUUGAGCCCAGGAGGUCAAGGUUGCAAAGAGCCAUGAUCCUGUGCCUAGGCAACAGAACGAAAAAGAUGUGAGAAAUACUCAAAGUCUUGGUCUUUACCCAGAAGAAUCAGAGCAAGGAAAAGAAAGAUCUCUUUCCCCAGUUUGACAUCCAUCUUCCUAAAUUUGGACAAAGGGAUCCUAAACCACAGCGUCCUACAGUGAGUCAAAAUGCCCAUGCACUGAUUCUCAUCUCACUGGAGUUACAGACACGGCUCACAGGCUUAAGCGUCUUGCUGUAGGUCAUACGGCAGGUUAAUGACAACACUGGGGCAAGAACACAGGUUACGCUCGUCCUGGGGAAGGCUCCCACACCAAGCUACACACUUCUGCAAUGCUGUUCCAGAUGUGAAAAUCCGCUAAGACAAAUAGGUCACAAAAACACCAUGGGAAACGAUGAUGUCUUUUCCUUUUUGUUAUCUUGAUAAAGCUUCAUACAUGUCUGGAUUCUGAUUGAUACACAAAAGCUGCAUUCCCACAUCAAGGGAACUCCGAGUGUUCACCCUCCGUGGUAAGGGGAGACUGGGAGACCCCACAAAAGCAUCCCAAGAGAGGAAGAGUCCCUUUACACACCUGCUGCCCCGUGUGUGGAUGCCCACUGAGCACGGAAGUUGUCAAGGACAAAAGGAGGAACUAGCCCACCAAGCAGGUUUAAAGGGAGUGUCGGACACAAAAAUGACAUGCCCCAUAUUGCAGUCUAGAAGGAACAACACGGUGAAUUGUCUACUGCAGAACACUUCACUCUGUCUCGAUUACUACAUGGUGAAUUGAAGUUCCAGUAGAGAGGGAGUUGAGCUGAUACUGAGGAGAUAAAUACCCAUCACUGUAUACAUCUACUUCUUGGAAUUUGCAAGGGAACCAGUCAACAGAUUUUUCAAGCCUUAUAAGUUUAUCUGCCUGAGAAGUUCACCAGCUACAUAACAUCCUGGACUCUGGAGCCCAAGAGAUGUGUAGUUUCCAUUUUGGAGCCAUUUUCUUUGAUAAAUAAGUAGUGAGGCUGCCAUUCUUGUCAAAGUUGAGGACCACAACCUUACUCAUGAAACUGAAAGAUUGUUUGUUAUGAGGAGUUCUGUUUGAGCCAUACAAGCAAUAUAUCCUUUUUAAAGAAAUGUAUCCGGAAUCUUAGGUGUUCAUUGCUCCAAGCCAUGUGCAGAAUAAAAAGAAAACAAAAAACAAAAAA
Molecule: long non-coding RNA, 2532 nt
Organism: Homo sapiens (human)
Lineage: Eukaryota; Metazoa; Chordata; Mammalia; Primates; Hominidae
Source: Ensembl